Long non-coding RNA from Anas platyrhynchos (mallard), 709 nucleotides. RefSeq lists it as uncharacterized. The record is from RefSeq and is a predicted model, not a curated record. NCBI's taxonomy places the organism in Eukaryota, Metazoa, Chordata, Aves, Anseriformes, Anatidae.
UCUUUUUCAGGAGGGGGAGUGAGAGAGCGGCCGUGGUGGAACUCGGCUGCCCACCCGAUUCAGACCACCGCAGUUGCAAAGGACUGGAAAAGUUUUCCGAAGAAACAAGAUGUUUAACAAGGAGAUGCAUAGUUUCCUUAUUACGGCUUCCUGGAUAAUUGGGGUUCUUUCCUAUUGCCAGCUCGGAGGAAGAGAAUUGUUGAUUUCCCCUUCUUUUUUCUUACAUGGAAAUCAAAGAUUUGAUUAUCGACUUAGAAAGCAAAUAUCUGGCCAGACUUCAAGACUUAUGCUCGCAGCGUGGGACAGCUCUCGUAAGGGUGAUUCAGGGUAGCUUCUGGAGAACAAGACGUCAGAUCUCCAAACCAGCUUUCUUUGUGCUAAUGUAGGAAGGGCGAGUAAGAGUAAAGACACUUCUCUGUCCAUCGGCCUGUCCUGCCGACUCUGGUGUGAGUGUGAAGCUGUGGCAAGAGGGGUUUCCCAUUCCUAUUUGACCUGGUGGACACCAGCUUUCCUAGGAAAUUGCUGAUGUUGCUGAGGAGGCGGCAGUAUCAAAGGCCUUGUUGAUGAAGGUACAACAAGCUGGGGAGGCUUUGGCAUUUCUGCACAGUGCUGCUCCCUGACUGUCACUCCAGACUCAGAUUCUGAAAGAAGCAAAGCAAGCUAGAGGAAAACUGGAUGUCCAGUAUCCAAAACUCCGUGUUACAGCGGA